Molecule: long non-coding RNA, 604 nt
Organism: Nicotiana attenuata
Lineage: Eukaryota; Viridiplantae; Streptophyta; Magnoliopsida; Solanales; Solanaceae
Exons: 2
Source: RefSeq, a predicted model, not a curated record
AUAUAUAAAAAACUUCUAUCUUCAUACACUGGACUGGACACACACGGAUUUCACACCAAAAACCCUCUGAAAUUCAGACUCUUUUCCUUCAUUUGAAGACUGAUUUUGAGAUGGAUUUUUACACAUGAACCUUCUGAAAAAUUAGGAACUUCAUUCUCAUUUGACAAUGAUUUUGCAUUAGAGUUUCAUUGGUUUUGGGUCUAUUGCUGACUUCUGGGUUGAAGAUUGAAGUUAUUAUGUGUUGUUUUCUACUGUAAUUUGCUGUUAUUGUUUAGCUGAGUUCUUUUCUUUGGAUUCCAGACCUUUAUUUGGUCAUUUCCUUCUGUUUCCUUACUGAUAGUAUCAUUAACUUGCAAUCUCAGAAUCCAAUGGCAAGGCUUUGGAAUCGCAAGGAGCUGGCAGUAAACACUAUGGCAGGAAUUGAUAUGGCAAAAGUCUAAUUUUAGAGUCUGUUAGUAGAAGCCUAUAGGUGAUGACAGUAUUUUAAUCUAUAUCACUAGUUGUUAAUUUUCAUAAAUGUCUAUAAUUGUUAGAAUCACUUAUUGUAAUCUCUGUAUGUAACAUGUUCACAAUUCAUGCUUUUUAGACAUCUUUUCGAUAGCCC